Molecule: long non-coding RNA, 701 nt
Organism: Anopheles stephensi (Asian malaria mosquito)
Lineage: Eukaryota; Metazoa; Arthropoda; Insecta; Diptera; Culicidae
Exons: 2
Source: RefSeq, a predicted model, not a curated record
CGAUAAGCAAAAACGAAGACAUCGUGUGAAGGACUUUUAGAAACAGAGCGGCAUUUGGACGUUCAGCAAAGGGUAGGGUUUGGUCCGGGAUGUGCCCAUGGUACCGGAUGUUGAGGUCACUUGAGGUUGUGGUGUGAGGUUGUGAGGUUGGUUGAGAGGUCUACUAGGCUUCGAAGCAAACUGAACCAAACUCAUCACUGUCCGCGAAGCGUACACCACUAACCGGACCAAUCCUUGCACCCUGGACAGCUGCUGUGAUAAGAUUGAGCGGAUGGAACGGAGAAUGACACCCAUCAGUUAUCUCGAACGAUGGGGUUGGUUCAGUCUCCCAGGCUUGGCCCUGAAAACGUCCCGCCGGCCUGGAACGCCUGGGUGAGUUGGAGGCCUGAGGUCACUACGUGCCCAUCGUGCACCUGUACACGCUGCAGUAAUCAUUGCUGCGUGAUAAGUCUGCUGACUACUAUUAUCUGGAACCCGGGCGUACCAUGAUGGACUGGAGCGGAGUGCGUUAUCGGAUCGCUGGUUUGAUACCCGUAGAAAGGUUCGUUUUUGUUUAUCGAUGACCCAGUUUCCAGCUGUAACCGGAGCCACAGAACGUCAUAGUUGAGAUGUGCCUGGCGUGGGCAGAGCUCGUGAUACUGUAACGUUCUCGGUAGUUAUAUAAGCUGUGUUUACAAACAAUUGGCCAACCACAAAAGGUG